GACGAACGCUGGCGGCGUGCUUAACACAUGCAAGUCGAACGGAAAGGCCCUGCUUUUGUGGGGUGCUCGAGUGGCGAACGGGUGAGUAACACGUGAGUAACCUGCCCUUGACUUUGGGAUAACUUCAGGAAACUGGGGCUAAUACCGGAUAGGAGCUCCUGCUGCAUGGUGGGGGUUGGAAAGUUUCGGCGGUUGGGGAUGGACUCGCGGCUUAUCAGCUUGUUGGUUGGGUAGUGGCUUACCAAGGCAUUGACGGGUAGCCGGCCUGAGAGGGUGACCGGCCACAUGGGGACUGAGAUACGGACCAGACUCCUACGGGAGGCAGCAGUGGGGAAUAUUGCACAAUGGGCGGAAGUCUGAUGCAGCAACGCCGCGUGCGGGAUGACGGCCUUCGGGUUGUAAACCGCUUUCGCCUGUGACGAAGCGUGAGUGACGGUAAUGGGUAAAGAAGCACCGGCUAACUACGUG
This 468-nucleotide ribosomal RNA is filed under the name uncultured bacterium. Its description in RNAcentral is "partial 16S ribosomal RNA". It matches the Rfam family "Bacterial small subunit ribosomal RNA", at positions 28 to 507 of the family's 1533-position model. The record is from RNAcentral.